RNAcentral lists this ribosomal RNA (2767 nucleotides) under Escherichia coli. RNAcentral describes it as "partial 23S ribosomal RNA". It matches the Rfam family "Bacterial large subunit ribosomal RNA". Lineage: Bacteria; Pseudomonadati; Pseudomonadota; Gammaproteobacteria; Enterobacterales; Enterobacteriaceae. The record is from RNAcentral.
CACACUAUCAUUAACUGAAUCCAUAGGUUAAUGAGGCGAACCGGGGGAACUGAAACAUCUAAGUACCCCGAGGAAAAGAAAUCAACCGAGAUUCCCCCAGUAGCGGCGAGCGAACGGGGAGCAGCCCAGAGCCUGAAUCAGUGUGUGUGUUAGUGGAAGCGUCUGGAAAGGCGCGCGAUACAGGGUGACAGCCCCGUACACAAAAAUGCACAUGCUGUGAGCUCGAUGAGUAGGGCGGGACACGUGGUAUCCUGUCUGAAUAUGGGGGGACCAUCCUCCAAGGCUAAAUACUCCUGACUGACCGAUAGUGAACCAGUACCGUGAGGGAAAGGCGAAAAGAACCCCGGCGAGGGGAGUGAAAAAGAACCUGAAACCGUGUACGUACAAGCAGUGGGAGCACAGAGCAAUCUGUGUGACUGCGUACCUUUUGUAUAAUGGGUCAGCGACUUAUAUUCUGUAGCAAGGUUAACCGAAUAGGGGAGCCGAAGGGAAACCGAGUCUUAACUGGGCGUUAAGUUGCAGGGUAUAGACCCGAAACCCGGUGAUCUAGCCAUGGGCAGGUUGAAGGUUGGGUAACACUAACUGGAGGACCGAACCGACUAAUGUUGAAAAAUUAGCGGAUGACUUGUGGCUGGGGGUGAAAGGCCAAUCAAACCGGGAGAUAGCUGGUUCUCCCCGAAAGCUAUUUAGGUAGCGCCUCGUGAAUUCAUCUCCGGGGGUAGAGCACUGUUUCGGCAAGGGGGUCAUCCCGACUUACCAACCCGAUGCAAACUGCGAAUACCGGAGAAUGUUAUCACGGGAGACACACGGCGGGUGCUAACGUCCGUCGUGAAGAGGGAAACAACCCAGACCGCCAGCUAAGGUCCCAAAGUCAUGGUUAAGUGGGAAACGAUGUGGGAAGGCCCAGACAGCCAGGAUGUUGGCUUAGAAGCAGCCAUCAUUUAAAGAAAGCGUAAUAGCUCACUGGUCGAGUCGGCCUGCGCGGAAGAUGUAACGGGGCUAAACCAUGCACCGAAGCUGCGGCAGCGACGCUUAUGCGUUGUUGGGUAGGGGAGCGUUCUGUAAGCCUGUGAAGGUGUGCUGUGAGGCAUGCUGGAGGUAUCAGAAGUGCGAAUGCUGACAUAAGUAACGAUAAAGCGGGUGAAAAGCCCGCUCGCCGGAAGACCAAGGGUUCCUGUCCAACGUUAAUCGGGGCAGGGUGAGUCGACCCCUAAGGCGAGGCCGAAAGGCGUAGUCGAUGGGAAACAGGUUAAUAUUCCUGUACUUGGUGUUACUGCGAAGGGGGGACGGAGAAGGCUAUGUUGGCCGGGCGACGGUUGUCCCGGUUUAAGCGUGUAGGCUGGUUUUCCAGGCAAAUCCGGAAAAUCAAGGCUGAGGCGUGAUGACGAGGCACUACGGUGCUGAAGCAACAAAUGCCCUGCUUCCAGGAAAAGCCUCUAAGCAUCAGGUAACAUCAAAUCGUACCCCAAACCGACACAGGUGGUCAGGUAGAGAAUACCAAGGCGCUUGAGAGAACUCGGGUGAAGGAACUAGGCAAAAUGGUGCCGUAACUUCGGGAGAAGGCACGCUGAUAUGUAGGUGAAGUCCCUCGCGGAUGGAGCUGAAAUCAGUCGAAGAUACCAGCUGGCUGCAACUGUUUAUUAAAAACACAGCACUGUGCAAACACGAAAGUGGACGUAUACGGUGUGACGCCUGCCCGGUGCCGGAAGGUUAAUUGAUGGGGUUAGCGCAAGCGAAGCUCUUGAUCGAAGCCCCGGUAAACGGCGGCCGUAACUAUAACGGUCCUAAGGUAGCGAAAUUCCUUGUCGGGUAAGUUCCGACCUGCACGAAUGGCGUAAUGAUGGCCAGGCUGUCUCCACCCGAGACUCAGUGAAAUUGAACUCGCUGUGAAGAUGCAGUGUACCCGCGGCAAGACGGAAAGACCCCGUGAACCUUUACUAUAGCUUGACACUGAACAUUGAGCCUUGAUGUGUAGGAUAGGUGGGAGGCUUUGAAGUGUGGACGCCAGUCUGCAUGGAGCCGACCUUGAAAUACCACCCUUUAAUGUUUGAUGUUCUAACGUUGACCCGUGAUCCGGGUUGCGGACAGUGUCUGGUGGGUAGUUUGACUGGGGCGGUCUCCUCCUAAAGAGUAACGGAGGAGCACGAAGGUUGGCUAAUCCUGGUCGGACAUCAGGAGGUUAGUGCAAUGGCAUAAGCCAGCUUGACUGCGAGCGUGACGGCGCGAGCAGGUGCGAAAGCAGGUCAUAGUGAUCCGGUGGUUCUGAAUGGAAGGGCCAUCGCUCAACGGAUAAAAGGUACUCCGGGGAUAACAGGCUGAUACCGCCCAAGAGUUCAUAUCGACGGCGGUGUUUGGCACCUCGAUGUCGGCUCAUCACAUCCUGGGGCUGAAGUAGGUCCCAAGGGUAUGGCUGUUCGCCAUUUAAAGUGGUACGCGAGCUGGGUUUAGAACGUCGUGAGACAGUUCGGUCCCUAUCUGCCGUGGGCGCUGGAGAACUGAGGGGGGCUGCUCCUAGUACGAGAGGACCGGAGUGGACGCAUCACUGGUGUUCGGGUUGUCAUGCCAAUGGCACUGCCCGGUAGCUAAAUGCGGAAGAGAUAAGUGCUGAAAGCAUCUAAGCACGAAACUUGCCCCGAGAUGAGUUCUCCCUGACUCCUUGAGAGUCCUGAAGGAACGUUGAAGACGACGACGUUGAUAGGCCGGGUGUGUAAGCGCAGCGAUGCGUUGAGCUAACCGGUACUAAUGAACCGUGAGGCUUAACCUUACA